RNAcentral lists this ribosomal RNA (212 nucleotides) under uncultured bacterium. RNAcentral describes it as "partial 16S ribosomal RNA". It matches the Rfam family "Bacterial small subunit ribosomal RNA", at positions 524 to 733 of the family's 1533-position model. The record is from RNAcentral.
UACAGAGGGUGCAAGCGUUAAUCGGAAUUACUGGGCGUAAAGCGCGCGUAGGUGGUUGUGUAAGUUGGAUGUGAAAGCCCCGGCGUUAACCUGGGAACGUGCAUUCAAAACUAGCACGGCUAGAGUACGGGAGAGGGGGUAGGAAUUCCAGGUGUAGCGGUGAAAUGUGUAGAUAUCUGGAGGAACACCAGUGGCGAAGGCGGCCCCCUCGG